RNAcentral lists this ribosomal RNA (444 nucleotides) under uncultured bacterium. RNAcentral describes it as "SSU rRNA". It matches the Rfam family "Bacterial small subunit ribosomal RNA", at positions 26 to 518 of the family's 1533-position model. The record is from RNAcentral.
AGAGCGAACGCUGGCGGCAGGUCUAACACAUGCAAGUCGAGCGCCCCGCAAGGGGAGCGGCAGACGGGAGAGUAACACGUGGGAACGUACCCUUCAGUUCGGAACAACCCAGGGAAACUUGGGCUAAUACCGAAUACGUCCGUAAGGAGAAAGAUUUAUCGCUGAAGGAUCGGCCCGCGUCUGAUUAGCUUGUUGGUGAGGUAACGGCUCACCAAGGCGACGAUCAGUAGCUGGUCUGAGAGGAUGAUCAGCCUCACUGGGACUGAGACACGGCCCAGACUCCUACGGGAGGCAGCAGUGGGGAAUAUUGGACAAUGGGCGCAAGCCUGAUCCAGCCAUGCCGCGUGGGUGAUGAAGGCCCUAGGGUUGUAAAGCCCUUUCGGCGGGGAAGAUAAUGACGGUACCCGCAGAAGAAGCCCCGGCUAACUUCGUGCCAGCAGCCGC